UACGAGGGGGGCGAGCGUUGUUCGGAAUUAUUGGGCGUAAAGGGUGCGUAGGCGGUUUGGUAAGUCUUGUGUGAAAUCUACAGGCUCAACUUGUAGUCUGCACGAGAAACUGCCGGGCUUGAGUAUGGGAGAGGUGAGUGGAAUUCCUGGUGUAGCGGUGAAAUGCGUAGAUAUCAGGAGGAACACCUGUGGCGAAAGCGGCUCCCUGGACCAUAACUGACGCUGAUGCACGAAAGCUAGGGGAGCAAACAGG
This 253-nucleotide ribosomal RNA is filed under the name uncultured bacterium. RNAcentral describes it as "partial 16S ribosomal RNA". It matches the Rfam family "Bacterial small subunit ribosomal RNA", at positions 524 to 776 of the family's 1533-position model. The record is from RNAcentral.